GGAAGAAGAGCAAAAGUUAUGAAAGUCUUAUCUAAAGCAUAUUAUUUUCUUAUAGGAUUCUAAUAACUUUUAUUUUAUUUUAUUAUAAUAAAAAAUAAUAAUAACAUUAAUAUUCUUUUUAUCAAUACAUCUCUCUUAAUUAUGUUAUAUUUUUUUCAUACAACUUAUAUUAAAUAUGAUAAAAGUUACUCAUAUGCAUGUCAAUUUAUUAAAC
Molecule: long non-coding RNA, 214 nt
Filed under: Lathyrus oleraceus (garden pea)
Lineage: Eukaryota; Viridiplantae; Streptophyta; Magnoliopsida; Fabales; Fabaceae
Description: Pisum sativum (pea) long non-coding RNA (PSAT_LNC027549)
Source: RNAcentral